RNAcentral lists this ribosomal RNA (557 nucleotides) under uncultured bacterium. RNAcentral's name for it is "bacterial SSU rRNA". It matches the Rfam family "Bacterial small subunit ribosomal RNA", at positions 102 to 694 of the family's 1533-position model. The record is from RNAcentral.
ACGGGUGAGUAACGCGUGGGAAUCUACCGUGCCCUGCGGAAUAGCUCCGGGAAACUGGAAUUAAUACCGCAUACGCCCUACGGGGGAAAGAUUUAUCGGGGUAUGAUGAGCCCGCGUUGGAUUAGCUAGUUGGUGGGGUAAAGGCCUACCAAGGCGACGAUCCAUAGCUGGUCUGAGAGGAUGAUCAGCCACAUUGGGACUGAGACACGGCCCAAACUCCUACGGGAGGCAGCAGUGGGGAAUAUUGGACAAUGGGCGCAAGCCUGAUCCAGCCAUGCCGCGUGAGUGAUGAAGGCCUUAGGGUUGUAAAGCUCUUUCACCGGAGAAGAUAAUGACGGUAUCCAGAGAAGAAGCCCCGGCUAACUUCGUGCCAGCAGCCGCGGUAAUACGAAGGGGGCUAGCGUUGUUCGGAAUUACUGGGCGUAAAGCGCACGUAGGCGGAUAUUUAAGUCAGGGGUGAAAUCCCAGAGCUCAACUCUGGAACUGCCUUUGAUACUGGGUAUCUUGAGUAUGGAAGAGGUAAGUGGAAUUCCGAGUGUAGAGGUGAAAUUCGUAGA